GAUGAACGCUGGCGGCGUGCUUAACACAUGCAAGUCGAACGAAGCACUUUAUUUGAUUUCCUUCGGGACUGAUUAUUUUGUGACUGAGUGGCGGACGGGUGAGUAACGCGUGGGUAACCUGCCUUGUACAGGGGGAUAACAGUUGGAAACGGCUGCUAAUACCGCAUAAGCGCACAGCAUCGCAUGAUGCAGUGUGAAAAACUCCGGUGGUAUAAGAUGGACCCGCGUUGGAUUAGCUAGUUGGUGAGGUAACGGCCCACCAAGGCGACGAUCCAUAGCCGACCUGAGAGGGUGACCCGCCACAUUGGGACUGAGACACGGCCCAAACUCCUACGGGAGGCAGCAGUGGGGAAUAUUGCACAAUGGGCGAAAGCCUGAUGCAGCGACGCCGCGUGAGCGAAGAAGUAUUUCGGUAUGUAAAGCUCUAUCAGCAGGGAAGAUAAUGACGGUACCUGACUAAGAAGCACCGGCUAAAUACGU
This 480-nucleotide ribosomal RNA is filed under the name uncultured bacterium. Its description in RNAcentral is "partial 16S ribosomal RNA". It matches the Rfam family "Bacterial small subunit ribosomal RNA", at positions 28 to 506 of the family's 1533-position model. The record is from RNAcentral.